This 376-nucleotide ribosomal RNA is filed under the name uncultured delta proteobacterium. RNAcentral's name for it is "bacterial SSU rRNA". It matches the Rfam family "Bacterial small subunit ribosomal RNA", at positions 521 to 896 of the family's 1533-position model. The record is from RNAcentral. Lineage: Bacteria; Deltaproteobacteria.
UAAGACGGAGGGUGCAAGCGUUGUUCGGAUUUACUGGGCGUAAAGGGCGUGUAGGCGGAUAUGCAAGCCGGGGGUGAAAGCCCUGGGCUCAACCCAGGACGGUCUUCCGGAACUGCAUAUCUAGAGAGGGACAGAGGCAGGUGGAAUUCCAGGUGUAGAGGUGAAAUUCGUAGAUAUCUGGAGGAACACCGGUGGCGAAGGCGGCCUGCUGGUGCUCUUCUGACGCUGAGGCGCGAAAGCGUGGGUAGCAAACAGGAUUAGAUACCCUGGUAGUCCACGCCGUAAACGAUGAGUACUAGAUGUGCGCGGUACGACCCCGCGUGUGUCGCAGCUAACGCAAUAAGUACUCCGCCUGGGGACUACGGUCGCAAGACUA